RNAcentral lists this ribosomal RNA (250 nucleotides) under uncultured bacterium. Its description in RNAcentral is "partial 16S ribosomal RNA". It matches the Rfam family "Bacterial small subunit ribosomal RNA", at positions 524 to 773 of the family's 1533-position model. The record is from RNAcentral.
UACGAAGGGGGCUAGCGUUGCUCGGAAUUACUGGGCGUAAAGCGCACGUAGGCGGGUUGUUAAGUCGGGGGUGAAAUCCUGGAGCUCAACUCCAGAACUGCCUUCGAAACUGACGAUCUUGAGUUCGGGAGAGGUGAGUGGAACUGCGAGUGUAGAGGUGAAAUUCGUAGAUAUUCGCAAGAACACCAGUGGCGAAGGCGGCUCACUGGCCCGAUACUGACGCUGAGGUGCGAAAGCGUGGGGAGCAAAC